This 27656-nucleotide long non-coding RNA is filed under the name Oryza sativa (Asian cultivated rice). RNAcentral's name for it is "long non-coding RNA (OSAT_LNC000053)". The stretch from base 16737 to 16933 matches the Rfam family "MIR812 microRNA precursor family". The record is from RNAcentral. Lineage: Eukaryota; Viridiplantae; Streptophyta; Magnoliopsida; Poales; Poaceae.
UCUGAACCAAAUCCUAACAAACCCAAUCCAACCCACGGACACUGUAGCGCGACCUGCAAGCAAUUCUUCAGGGCGAUGCCACGGCAGCCGCGCUCCCAGCGUCGUGCGCGCCUGGCUUCUUGCGGCGUCGGUGAUAUGCAAUCCCGACCAUAACAUCUUUGGACGUAUAUAUGUGCAUAUCUAAAUAUCUAAUGGAAUUUUACUACAUGUCUUUAUGUUCUGAGUCAACGAGAGUAAUGAUAAGAAGUGUUGUGUUCUGGUCGGAGGAUCGUAGGAGGGUAAGCGCUGCCACAAUACAACGUGAUGAUUUUAUUGUUUAAUGAAAUAUCCAUUUUUCUAAAAAAAGGGUGUUGGUCCUAGUAAAUUGGCAAUGCUGAAUUCUUAGUGUGACAAAUUCAUACCUUCUGUCAACAAAUUUAUGUGCUUCUUCGUCGUGCUCGUUUUGUAGAACUGCAGAUUUCUCACUUAAGUCUUCUUUCACAAAAUGCUCCUGUUUCAUUGGAGUCCUACAUUCUUCCUCUCGUGUCCCCACACAGUCAUUAUCCUUAUCAUGAAAGGUCCAAUCCACACACCGUAUGUUGACGCUAGGACGUCCUGGAUGCAUCAUAAAGGCGUUAGUCAAAGCUGACUCUGCAAAUCUUCUACAAUGAUCAUGAGCAGUACAGGCGACCCUAAUUUUUGCAGAGAUCUCUUCAAGUCCAGACAGAUGUUCGAUGCCAACAGGAAUAAUAUCAUGCUGAUCUGCUAUAUGGACAUCAAAACCUAGCUUGAGCUUCCUUAGACUAGGCAUUGCACCCAUCUCAAAUUUCAUCCAUGCUACACUGCAUAUAAACUCGAAGUAUUUGAGGAUUGAGAACCCUGCAUUGUCAAAGACAAUCCUUUCUGCAGGCUUUGUGUGGACAUAAAGUGACAAAACAGUGAGUUUCGGUAAUACUCCUAGAACAUCAAUACUAUUACUUGUUACUUCCCUUAUCCCAAUCUUCAAAAUGCAGAGGUUUCCAAGCUGCCCAAUCCAAUUUGGGAGGUUAGAAAAGAUGCAAACACAUGGUAACAACUCAAACCUCUGAAGAAGGGCUGGUGGAGAGGACACACUGCUCCAGCCAUCAACAUUGAUCCUCGUCCUGUCAAUAUGUAGAGUAUCUGGACAGGAAGAGCCAGGAGGCGAUAAAGUUAUAGAUGUGAGAUUACGGAGUUUCCCCAGAAUGGAUCCAAGAUAUUUCAUAUUAUCCUUCAGAUUGUCAGAAUGUAUUUCAGAAUAGGUGAGCUGCAAAUCCCGGAGAUUGCUCAGCUCACCAAGGCUCCAUAGAUUCUCCGCUGAGUUACAGCUGAGAUCAAAAUAUCCAAUUGUACGAAGCGAUGUCAUGUGGACAAUUCCACUGGGCAGGUUUGUCUUAGCAGGAAGAGUAAGAUGCAGCAAACGUGGCAAAUAAAUGUCUGUUGGAACUUCACUUAUUGUCCCAUCUAUUUUCAGUGUCUCCAAAUAUGGUAGACCUUGCAUCUGGGUUGGCAGUUUUACGGUGACAUUAGAGGUGACCUUCAAAUAUCUCAGUCGAACAAGUUCUGAAAUUUUAGUGAGAUCAAAAAUGCCGAUGCUAUCCUCAUCACCCAAAAUAUGUAGAACUAGAACUUUAAUAAGUCGAAACUCCAUAACGAAAGGCAUAUACUUCAAGACCCCGAAGAAGGCAACUGUCCGAACUUGGGACAAUCUCAUACUGGUAGGCGGAGUUGCAUCUUCUACGUUACUAAAGUGGAUAGAUAAUCGUCGAACCUUGUCAGCAAAUCUUAUAGUUGCCUGUGAAUGGUCUAUUGCAAUAAUAAAAUUUUCUUCUAUUGACUUGUAUGUAACGAAAUUGAGUACCAUAUGGUGAACUACACAGGACAAAACCUCACCACUGUCAUCGAUAUGUACAGGCUGGAUGAUUUUUCUGCCCACAAGCUCAUCAAAAUAGGCCCUUGAAAUUUCUUCCUUGUCAUGCCCUUCAGUUGCACAGAUAAAACCUUCAGCUAUCCAUUGACUCACUAAAUCAUCUUUCCAAAUUAUGUGAUCUUCUUGAUACAUACUAAGAUACAACAUGCAUACCUUCAAAUGCUGAGGAAGAUUGUUGUAACAAAUGUUCAGUAGUUGUUUCAUCCCUUCCAAAGUAGGAUUUGCCAUCAAACCGUAACCUAAGGAUUUGUUUAUAUAAUCCAAUUGUUCUUGUUUCUCAAGCUGGCUUGCUAAAAGACUAGCAACAGUGACAAUAGCUAGCGGCAAACCACCACAUUUCCUUACAAUAUCAUAUAAUGUUUCACUGACUUCUGGAGGACACUUAGAAUGAGAGCCAAAGACUAUACUGAAAAAUAGUUUUCUUGAGUCACCCUCACCAAAAGGUUUCAUCUUGAAAAUAAAUUUCAAGUCAUAACUACAAGAUUGCAAAGCUAGAUCCUCAAUUUCUGUUGUGGUUAGUAUUCUGCUGGAACUAUUACCAUCCGGCAAAGCGCACUUAAUAACAUCCCAUGUGGAUGUAGCCCAUAAACCAUCAAUUAUGAUCAAGUACCUGCGAUUAAGGGGAGAAUUUUUAACAUAACUAAAUGGAAGCUCCACUUGUUGUUAGUAUUCUGCUAGAAUUUGCAUGAUGAAAUGGUAAACAUUAGGUGUAAGACGGAUUUUUCUCUCGAUUUUGUACACUAUGCAACUUAUAACAGCCAUCUUGAGGCUAAAAAUGAUUAGAAGACAUGAUGAAAUAUAAGAGGUAGGAUUAGAAUAGGAAAUGAGUGGAUUGUUAAGAUAAAAUAAGGUGACAGGAAUGGAUGGCUACCAUUAAACCUUACCCUUUGAUGGGUGGGAUAUCUUUUCCCAAUCUCAUUUGCUAAAUGAGCCCUAAUUGUGGCUAAGGCUGAUAUCAGGGAUAGCAAGCAACAGACACACCCUGCUAUUGUUAUGUUAUACAUUACAUAUAAUUUAGUAGUAUAGACUUCAGAGGAGCUGGUAUCUGUCUUUCUUAUCUAUCUGCCACUUCAAUGAAAUAUUGAACCCAUGCAUUCAAUCCUUGACUAAAAAAUUUGUAUUUAUACUUAUGAAGAUAAUAUUAGUAUCAGUACAACAGUCAAAUGCACCGAUUAACAAUUAGUAGCAGACACAAACAAAAACAAGGAAAUAGUCAGUUUCACACCCCGAAAACAUUGUACGUACCUCUUAUCUUGCAGAUGUGUCCUGAUACUGGAAAUUAGGCUAUGCACCUUCCAAUUGUCAGGUGACUGGUGCGGCUGAACCUGUGAGAGGAUAUUGAUGAGAAGCCUCCUCAUAUCAGUCUUCUGAGAUGUCUGCACAAAUGCCCAGCACUCGAACUGCCGCUGAAGCUUGCAGUACAGCUUGUUGGCGAGCGUAGUCUUGCCAACUCCUCCAACUCCCACGAUGGACACCACCUUGAGCUUCUCCUCUCCGCACACAUCGAGCAAGUUUUCAAGCUUGUUCACCGCGGCGUUGAUGCCAACAAGACCCGCGGACUCCAUGAACCGCGUGGGUUGCCUAGAUGAGGUAGAAGAUACAUCACCUCUAGUGGUAGUAGAAGUAGUGGUGAUACCAGUGGGUAUGUUUUUGAGCUUGUUCAGGAUGGCUUCCACAUCGGGGUGGAUAUGACGCACUUUAUUGGCGUGCUCCCUGAACUGCACGAGAGAAGCAGUCGGGAUACUAGCGAGCAAGUUUUUGAGCUUGUUCAGGUCAUUCAGGGCAGCUUCCAUACCAUCGGCGUCUAUACCGACAGAACAGACGUUGUCGGUGUGCUCUCUGAACUGCGUGGGAUGCCAAGGUGUUGCAGAGCAUACAUCUCCUCCAGUAGUAGAAGCAAUGGUGAUGCCACCAAGGUUGUUGUACAUGGUGUGGCGUUGAAGCGCCUCCUGGGUGCGCAGGCUGAAUUCUCUGAUCUUGUUGGCCAUCCACAACCGCUGCUUAAGUUUCCAGGGAACCCAAGGGAUCAUCUUUCCAUGCCGCUGAUUGAACUUACGGCGACAAAUAUUAGGUCCAGUAUGUGACCGGGUGGCAGUGGCGGCAUGCUCAUACUGGUCGAUGCAAUCCUCGAUGUCAUAAGAGAGCUCACGUACCUCCUUCAUCCAGCACCUGACCACCAUGGCAUGGUCCUCCAGCUUUGGCUUGCUACAGUGACCAUGGAGGACGGAGAUUAUUUCCUCGAGAUCUUGCUUGAUGAGAGGUAUCUCCUCCUCUGCCCCCUUGGGCAGCAUGCUGCCAUGACGACGCAGGAGCCGGUCGAGCCUUCCUGGGAGGUUGAACAUGGAGCCCUCCAUUGAUAUCUUCUCUGUAAACAAAUCAAGUGCAUGUUACAGAUUUGCAUGGCAUGGGGCAUUAAAUGACUGCAAACAAAGAGCUGAAAAAGAAGGAAAUAAUACAAUGGAAUCACUAAAACAGACAAGAGAGGGAUUACUGAACCUACAAGCUGAAGGCAUCAGAUGAUCAGAGUAGCAUGAGCGAGCUCUCCAAGCGGUUGGACUUAGGAGAGAGUUCUUCCAUUUUGCUUCAUUCCUAGCUUCCAAAUCCAAUGCUUUCCUCUCCUUGAGGAUUAGCUUUCGGUUUGCAGCCAACAGUGGUCGUCUGGUCAAUUCAGCCAUUCAACAAUAUUUUCUUCAGAAUAAAUGAUCGAUUGGCCACUGUGUGGUGUAGCUGUUGGACACUUCAAUAAUCACUACUUGACAAGCACUGAAGCACCUUUCAAGAUAUAUGCUUUACACACCAAUCCUCAAGUAUCCCUGAAAUUGAGAAUUACAUAUCAAUGCUCAAACUUCACAUUAUUUACAUUUGUCUCAAAAUGCAGACUCAUCUGUCAAAGUUUCACAAUUUACACACACUGCCCCAUAUUAUGUUUUGCACAUUUUAUGAUUUACAAAUGCAUGAUACGCUGGACUAUCGACAAAAAAUAUCUAUCUUAAAUAACUAAAAACCUGAAUGGCAAAGAGCAAAACGAUUAGUAAACAGGCUUUUACACUAAACGUAAAGGGAUUAGUAGACAAGCUUUUGCACACACUAAAACAAAUCCUUUCUCAAUAAAAGCGCGCUUAUUUUGUACUGAAAUGUGAAAUAUGUUAUGAAUUUAUGAACAAAAACCUUUCAGAGAUAUAUGUCCUGUAUUAUGAACAAGAUUCUUAAGUACCUUAUCGAUAUAAAGCUACUGAUCUGAUUAUCUGAAUAUUUAAAAUGGCAUUUAAUGAUCAGCAGUUUGUGUAAAAAAACACAUACUUGUCAACAAAGAUAUUGUAAUAUGAUUUUGCACUCAGUUGGGGGUAUCCACGCAUAUACACAUAUGCAUGGUGAGCUAUUGACUUGCUGAAGACUUAGAGGUUGCAUGCUUGCAGCUGCUGCUGCUCCUCCCUCUAGCAGUCUGUCUGAUCCACAAAAGUAUCUCUGCAUCUCUUGUGUGAGCCAGGUCGCAUGCAAGCAACAAAACACGCCCAUACUUGUCCAUAGAGUCUGCUGCGGCGAGUGCUUUCUGGGAGGCCAUCAUGGGGAAGCUGUUCAUGGUGCUGGAGAACCAGUACAACAAGCACAAGGUCCUCGAGCAAGAAAUCAGCUCCCUCCAGCAAGAGUUCCGCAUGAUUGCCGCCGUCAUGGACGACCAGCUCCUUUCUAUGGGCAGGAGCGAAGCACGCACAUCUGUUGCAUGGCUGCACAACGAGGAGAUGCUCGAUCUUGAGCAUGACAUUGAGGACUGCGUCGACCGUUUCAUGCACCUCCUCACCUGCAAGCAUCAUCGUGGUGGGGUGCGCCAGAUGGCACAUGAGGUAAAGAUCCGCUCGAGCUUCAGUGAAGAGAUCCAGAAGCUCAGGAGGCGCCUCAGUGAGGUGCGCCAGUGAGUCGUCAACAUCAAUUCACCUAUUGCCCGUCAAUCAGCCAGGUCAUCGUCAUCGACUCCGUAUCGUGCUGCGCACAGUCUGGUGGGCAUUAGGCAGCCCAUGGAGGAGCUCCUCUCGCUGCUAGAUGAAGUGGAGGGCGAGCCAAAGCAGUUGAGGGUGACCUCCAUCGUGGGGUUCAGUGGCUUGGGGAAGACCACCCUCGCCAAGGCGGUCUACGAUAGCCCUCAUGCAAAGGAUAAAUUCUGCCUCCGUGCGUGGAUCACCGCUGAUGGCUCACCGGAAACGAGCAAUUGGAUGAAGGAGAUCCUGCGCGGUGUACUCCAGCAAGUGCGUCCCGGCGAUGCCAUGGAUGUCGAUGGCCAGCAUCUUGAAGCCUCGCUCAAGGAGUACCUCAAGGACAAGAGGUGAACCUCACCGUUAGGCGCUUUUAUUUUUAUUUCCUUUACAAGAACAUUUUUCAUUUUUAAGUACACCAAUAACUCUUCACGUGGAAUGUUCUUGGUUCAAUUAGCUAAUUUAAUUAUCUAAAAGAUUGUUCACUAAUGACCAUUGCAUAUGAAAAUUUAUUUUUACUUAACCUUUUCACCUUGUUUUUCAAUUUGACCCUCUUAAUAUUCCUCCUCAAUUCUCAAUUUGGUUAUUAGGUAUUUAAUUAUCAUCGAUGACAUCAGGAUGGAUCAAUGGAGGAUCAUAAGUUCAGCCUUUGAAAAUAAUGGUACAGGCAGCAGGAUAUUACUUACCACAACUAUUCAGUCAGUAACUAAUAGGUGCAGCCAUGGCAAUGGUUAUGUGUAUCAAAUGAACACACUUGGUAAAGAAGACUCUGAGGAACUAGCUUUUUCAGUGCUUAGAUCACCUGAGUUGGAGAACCAUUCAGAAUCAUUACUAGGGAAAUGUGAUGGUCUUCCUCUUGCUCUGGUCAGUGUCUCUGAUUAUCUGAAGAGCUCAACUGAGGCAACGGGAGAGUUGUGUGCAAAGCUAUGCCGUGAUCUGGGUUCUCAUCUGACAGGAAACCAUGGCCAUGACAACUUUUCAGAACUCAGGAAGGUGCUUCUUGGCAACUAUGACAGUUUUUCCGGCUCUGCUCUGAGUUGCUUGCUGUAUCUUGGUAUAUUCCCAAACAAUCAUCCUCUCAGGAAGAAAGUUCUAAUCCGGCGGUGGUUAGCUGAAGGAAACGCAAGAAGUGAUGACCCUUGGCGCAGUGAAGAGGACACUGCAGAUGACAAUUUCAGUAACCUUAUUGACCAGAAUAUCAUUCAGCCAGUUGACACAAGAAACAAUUCUGAAGUGAAGACGUGCAAAACUCAUGGAAUUAUGCAUGAAUUUUUGCUGAACAGGUCCUUGGCCAAGAGAUUCAUCACGACAUCACCGCAUGAUCCAAGAGUUGGAAUCAAUACUACCAAUUCACGCCACCUUUCUGUUGAUGCUGCUAAACAGACAAAAUGCAUGGCAUCUGACGAGGAAUUAUCUCGAGUCCGAUCUCUGACAAUCUUUGGGGAUGCAGGUGAUGCAAUUUCUUAUCUUCACAAGUGCAAUCUGAUACGAGUCUUGGAUCUACAAGAAUGCAGUGAUUUGAACGAUAAUCAUCUGAAACGCAUAUGUGUACUGUCACCGUGGCAUCUGAAAUACCUGAACCUUGGGGGCAAUAUCAGUGAGCUUCCAAGGAGUAUUGAAGGGCUGCAUUGUUUAGAGACACUGGAUUUAAGGGAAACAGAGAUAAAGUUUUUGCCCAUUGAAGGUAUCAUGCUGCCCCACUUAGCUCACUUGUUUGGAAAGUUUAUGCUUCACAAAGAUGAUCUGAACAAUGUGAAGAAGAUAAGUAAACUAUUAAAAUUGUUUUCAUCAAAUAAAAGCAACUUGCAAACUUUAGCAGGAUUUAUCACUGACGGGAGGAAAGGAUUUCUUCAACUUAUUGGUCAUAUGAAAAAACUGAGGAAGGUUAAGAUAUGGUGCAGGCAUGUUGAAGGUAGCAGUAAUUACAUUGCUGAUCUUUCAAAGGCCAUUCAGGAAUUUACCAAGGCUCCCAUUGACAUGGACAGAGUCCGUUCUCUCUCAAUUGAUUCCGAAGAAUACUGUGAAAAAUUCCUAAGUUCACUUGAUUUGGAGCCAUGCUCUGAAUAUUCGAAAUACCAUCUAAGUUCACUAAAGAUACAUGGCAAGUUACUCCGGUUGCCUCCAUUUUUUAGUUCUUUGUCAGGUCUCAUUGAUCUGUGUAUUACACCAGCUACUCUGACACAAGAUCAUCUAUCAGCACUGAUAAAUCUGAACAGACUGCUGUACCUCAAACUGAUUGCUGACAAGCUCGAGAAUUUAGAGAUAAAACAUGAAGCACUACUGAGCCUGAGACGCCUGUGCUUUGUGGUGAAAAGUGUGGCGUUAGCGCAGCCAAAAAUCGAGCAAGGAGCUCUACCAAACCUUGUUUCACUUCAGCUGCUCUGUCAAGGACUAGUUGGUCUUUCCGGCAUCGAGAUCAGACACCUGAAAAAUCUCAAGGAAGUUACGAUUGACUCUGGAGUGACUGCGCAAACAAGGCAAGAUUGGGAACAAGCUGCAAAGAACCACCCUAACAGGCCUAGAGUUUUGUUGCUCGGAAAGGUUGAUCCAGUGGAAAGCGAGGAACCGGGAAGACCCUGUGCCAUAAGGGGGAGGGGGAAAAGUUCUAUAGGCCAAGAAAGUUCAGAAGAUGGUUCAGAUUCUAGCCUUAAGAGGAUGAGACUUGCAGAGCCUUCUUCUUCUUCGCAGCUUCAGGUGACCGGCCAUCCGCAUCCGGUGGUGGUAGCAGCCACCGAAGCAGCAUCCCAGCCUUCCAUGGCAAAUCUCUAGCACAUUUAUACAACUUAAGCAGACAGGCUGCAAUAAAGACUGUAAUAUUGACCUUUUGCAGAGUUAAAUGUAUCCUAUAUAUCGGGAUACCCAAAUUAUGAACCGAGUUUCGUGUAAAAAACAUGGGUUAAUGUCUGAAAUUUCUGCUUUUCUUACUGAAACAAAAACUGAAUGUAGUUGAAGUUCAACUUUAAGGACUACUAGUAGUUCUUCUUACGAAGAAUGUAAAACACGCAUGAUGACUUAAUCAGUGUGCCCUCGUCGAUCAAAACAAAGUCCCCCAAGUUGUAAAUUCUGACGGAGCUUCCUUCUCAUCUCAUCUCACCAGAAUAAUGCAACAAAUCAAUAGGACAACACCGCUAUUCAGAUCCUGUGUGGAGGACUCACCGAAUCCGGCGGCCGGCCGGCCGCGAUGCAGACGAGGGCUCCCUCCGCCCCAUCCGCCCAUCGAGGAUCGACCAGAUGGACGGACGGAGGAAGAAGAAUGGACGGGCGCAGAAGAACAAGAUGGAGCUCCCCCCCUCGUACUCGCAGGUAGCGUGCCUCCAUUGCCGUGGGAAUUGGGACGCGGCGGUGCGCGCCGCCGCUCUUCCCCUCCCCAUCCCCUCGUCGUCGUCGGGCUCCAGGUUGUCGAUCUUAGGGGACCUAAAGUGAACUUAAUCUCGAUCUUACUACCUCUUGUUCUAGAUGGACCGAGCCCAGGAUCGGUUGCAAUUGUAGCGAUCCGAUGUCUUGACAGGUGGGGCCCGUAAUUCACAAGGAAAAAGUCUAUUAUCCUUCCCUCACUACAAGGCCGAGUUUGAUUCUCGUCCCUGCAGAACCAGAUACCUCGUACCUCCAUCGACUAUCAAUACCAGUUUGUUUUGACUCUCUUGGCAGUUUGCAAGGCAGUUUCAGCUUAUGUGGAGCCUACUCCCUCCAUUCCACAAAAAAUGAAUAUAGAACUGGAUAUGACACAUUUUAAUACAGUAAAUCUGGACAAAGGUAUGUCCAGAUUCAUAAUAGUAAGAUAUGUCAUAUUCAGUACGAGGUUAAUUUUUUAUGGGAUAGAGGGAGUACAUGGUACGUUGAUUAGUAGUCAUUGCAUCUUUAUCUCUAUCUCCAUCUCUAUCUUUAUCUCUUUUCUAUCUCUAUCUCUAUCUUUAUCUUUACUAUUAUAAAAAUUCAAAAUGUUUUUCCUAGUGGCUUGGUACGUCAUCCCACUCCUACACAUGCGUGGCUUGGGCACGGUCUGAUCAAUCCACACGCACUGUGAUUUUGAUUUUCCAGUGAAAAACAAAGAUGCCCACGAGUACUACGCCCGUCUACGGCACAACACAAGUACUUAACAUGAUCUGGCCAACUAUUGUGGAUCAUCCUAUUUGAUCUGGCCUAUUUUAGGAUAGGCUGCCCAGGAGUUGCAAAUGUAUAGAGUAGAAACCCAGUUGAAAAAAAAAUCCAUUUUCCUCUAUCAAUUAUACCCCAAUUUAAUUUUUUACCUCACCCGUAAAACCAUAUGUGGAGGUUUCCACAAAUAUCAUAGCCGUUUCGUUUUUCUUUAGAGAGAGGUAUUAUUCUAAAUGAUAUAUUUAUCCGACGUGACGCUUAUAUUGUAGUACUCCCUCCAUCCCUAAAUGUUUGACGCCGUUGACUUUUUUAAACAUGUUUGACCGUUCGUCUUAUUCAAAAACUUUUGUGAAAUACGUAAAACUAUAUGUAUACAUAAAAGUAUUUUUAACAAUAAAUCAAAUGAUAGGAAAAGAAUUAAUAAUUAAUUAAAUUUUUUAAUAAGACGAACGGUCAAACAUGUUUAAAAAAGUCAACGGCGUCAAACAUUUAGGAGAUGGAGAGAGUAUAUUAUAGUUAGCAAAAAAAAAUCAAGGGGAUCCACGUGUCAGUGACACACCACCCCCUCAUUUUCUCUCUCUCUCUCUAGCUUCCUUCUUCAUCUUUCCUCUCUCUUCUUAUCUCUUCCUCCUCUCCACCAAGCUCCUGAUGCAAGUAGUGUCCAAGAAAGAAACAAAAGAAUCACUAAAACUCAACACACACGAAAUGAGUUUUUCUACGAAGAUUGUUUCGACUGCAUUUUAUUUUUACUUUUUUUUUUUUGCCUUGGACAUAACCAUUUGGAGUGUACACAAUCCUCAACCAGGACAUCCCUUCAUAAAGGUGCCAUAUAUAUGAUCCGGAAAACAACAUCCAUGUGUGAGUUUGAGCAUCAUUGUACAUGAAUUAACUAAAACACUUACAGUAAAUGCAAUAUCUGAUAGAGUGCAAUAAGAAAGAUAAACCAGUCGCCUAACAAGCCUGUGACAGCACUUGUCUUGAAACCAAGAAGGGACGAGAACCGAGCAGUGCUCGGGUGGCUAGCGUCGCUGGUGUGCGAGCAGUCCACACGAGUUCGAUUUCUGGGAUCGCAACUCGCGUGUCUCACCUAGCUAGGGUUUUUCCCUGUUUUCCCUAGGAUCAAUUUUGGUUGGUCCUGGUUAGAAAAUAGGGUACACACGUGGGUGCUUCAGUGGGAAUACACGUUUCCCGUGCACUGAGGCUUAGUGCCUCCUAGGCCUCCAAUAUCAAUUCUAGCGUGUGUUGAGAAACGCGCACGCGUGUGUGUGGGCGCGCGUAGUGUAUGAGUGUGGUGUGCGUACGUGUGCGUCCUGAGCUGUACCCUCUAAAGAAAAAAAGUAGGUAUGAAAGUCCCCACCUGACAUGCCAAGCUCUUUUAUAAUUAAUGUAUAAUCCCUUAAAGCAAAAUCUUCGGUUCGCCGAAACACAUCAGUACGUAGUACAACAUAGCAUUGGCGGCCAUCCAUUGGGCAGACUAAUUAUUCCGAUUGCUUGAGCAACUGCACUUUUCUCGGUCUCGUUCGAGCUUCUGCAUGAAUCCAUUUUAGCAUAGUGAGAGCUUUAUAAUUUCAAGUGGAUACUUUUCUUAUCUACCAAUAUCUUUUUCAAUUUACUGUAAUAUAAUUUGUCCCAAUAGUGUAACUUAUAUGUUAGACCCUUUUUUUCCAUGGUGUGAAAUAAAGUAUGUUCUGAGUUAAACUUAAAAGUAUAAUUUGGUUACAUCCCUUACUAAAUAUGAAAAAAAAAAUCCAACAUAGAGAUGAACGUAAGAAAUUAAAACACAUCUUAUUAGUUAACUGUGAAUAUAUAAAGAACAUAAACCAAAAAGUUAUAGUGAAGUUGUACACUUGUACUAAAGUUGCAAUUUUAUAUACUACCUCUGUCUCAUAAUAAUUGUAUUUUUAGGAUUUGAAUUUGUCCUAAAAUAAUUAUCACAAUAGAGUACUAAUGAUCCCAUUAAUCACUUAUCAUCCAAAUUUCUUUCUAUUUUACCUCAACUACCCUCUACUUUUACCUAUAAACCAUAUAAUAAGGGGUAUUAUAGUCUUUUUCCCCCUCAAAUCUUAAUAUAUACUAAAUAACCUAGAAUUACGAUUAAUCUAGGACAGAGGUAGUAUCUUCCAAGUUAAACUGUGCCACUUAGAUUGGCAUCCCUUUAUGAGCUCAUAAACAAAAGUUACACACACACUCACUCUCUCAAUGAGCUCCUUUACGGUGCUCCAUCUCACCAAUCCAAAUCCAAGAGGUAAAAAGCCUAUUAUACAAUCCUAGCCACUAAAAGUUUCGUGGUUUAUCUUGCCAAUCUAAGAGGUAAGAGUCAAUUACACAAUCCCAGUUACUAAAAGUUCCGUGAUUUAUCUUAUGCCAAAUAAAAGCCAUUUUGUUCUCAUAUGACCUUAGAUGAAGACAUGCUCUGUAUCAAAAUUGUAUAUCUCAAUGCCAUCUACAACUCUCUAUAAAUAUGUGGUUGACAACAUUUUCAUUUUACAUCACUUACAUGCCAAAAUAUGUGUUUGAAGUUAUCAUUUCUAUUUCCAAAUGAAUUUUUGAAGUUUUCAAAUAAGCUUGGUUAAUGGCUUGAAAUUGUAGAGCUUAGAGCUCUCGGCGAGAUCUACAGCUCUAUAGUUGAUUACCGUUUUAUUUGAAAUCAUUUAUAGUGUUAAAUAUGUAUUGCAAAUUUUGGAGAAAGGUGAACUAAAAAAUUGCAUCCCUCAUUUAAGAAAAAGUGUUUUAUAUGUGAGAUGGUAAGUAGCCUGAGUUCCUAGGUUCGAACCUUAUAUACUGCACGUGUAUGAAUAUCACAACUUUGUGUCUUAGGGACGACCAUGUAUAAAUACUUAAAAUACAUAUAAGAUAUCGAUGUUGCCUAUCCUAUUAUAAUGAAUCUGGACAAGCGGCUUAUAUAUUCUAAUGUGAGUUAUUUUGAAACGGAGGGAAGUAAAAUAUACCUAGUAAAAUAUGACAAAUCUUUUUUGGUUUUCUUUGGCACAUGGAAAAAAUCAUGUCACUGACGCGGCUAAAACUAGAUACAGAGACACAGAUCUUCACAUCACAUAUGCAGACCUACAUACACGCGCGCGGGUAUGUGAGUAUCUCGCAUCUAUAAUCCAUAUUAACCGGCCCGCGUCUAUGAUUAACAAUUCAGUGUAAUGUUUGAUAUUUUCUAUUUGUUAGUCCCCUAAAAUUCAACAAUACAUAAAAUUGGAAUGUUAGUAUAACUCUGUGGCAACUUUAUUAAAUACUAUCUCCGUCCCGAAAUAUAAGAAGUUGUGAUUGGAUACAGGUAUUAAGAAAGUUACUGAAAUUAAAUGGAGAAUAUUGUGAUCGGUUGAGAAAAAAAAGAGGUAUAUAGAAAAUUUGAAUGGUAAAAGUUUGUGAUUUGUUGAAAAAUUUUGAAGUUUAAAAGUUGUUAUAUUUUGGGACGGAUGAAGUGCUAGAGAGAAAAUUCCCGCGCCAGUUGGCGUGCCCGUUAUUUCAUGCCCCAUGUAUACUUGUUUCUUCUUUCUGCUAACAGGUUGACCAAGUUUAUAUGUAAACUAGAAAAUCAGCGCGCCUAUUGGCGUGCUAACUUGUUUAUAGCCUAUGUGGCUAAUGGCUUACUAUUAGAUGAUGUUGGUUUGUUGAUUUGUAGGAAUGAAGAUGGUGGGCGAUGUUCUUUCGGCUAUUAUUUUUCAUGUCGGAGUUAUUAUUUUUUGCAAUAUUUCAAGUUGUAGAUUCUCUUUAUUCUUUGCGGAUAAAUCUUGCGCUUCCUUUUAUCGUGACAGCAAUGUUGUAAACUUAUAAUUUCUUAUCGUUUUUAUCAUUCCUGUGUUGAAAAAAAGAUUGAUUAUAUAUUUGACAUUAUUUAUAGAUAUUUAAUUUUCCUAUUUAUUGUUUUUUUUGUUUUUCGAGAAUACCAAUGUUGUCAUCUAGUGACUUGGAUAUGGUGUAUCGUGUUUACUAAAUGUACAUUUAUUUUUUCUAACCUAUAGUAUCUCAUAUUUUAACAGAUCAGUUUUUUCUACUUAAUUUCUCACCUUGUCUAAUUUUUCUCUACUUCUUUUGUCUCAGUUGUUGUCCAUUGGUGUAACGAAAUGUUGUCUGAUCCUGCGCGUGAUUAACCGAAGAUGCUACGCGCAAAGCGUCGCUUAGGCCCUGUUUAGUUCCAAAGUUUUUUUUUCCAAACUUCCAACUUUCCAUCACAUCAAAUCUAAAAGUUUUAGGGGCAAAAUACUCACGACAAUUUUCUAGCAAAUCCGAUUAUAAAGGCCAUCUGCAUUUUUUUUCUUCCCCGUCGUACAUACUUCCACAAGAUUAAUUGAUUUAUCCCAAAAAAGUAUGAAAUAGUGAAGUUAUAUAUCAGAUAGAAAAUCAAAUAUAGUUGGCACAUUUACAGAUAGAUCUUUUUCAGAUAAUCAAAUUCAUUCCGACCUUGACUUCAAAAGAAGCUACAACCAAUUUACCGAUAGAUAGUCUAUGAGAAAAUAUCUUCUAUACCCUUGAAAUUUUAGCUAGUCCUUUCUAUAUCCCUGAAUUUUGCUUACUUAUACACCCACGAAAUUUGAUUUUGAUCCCUUCCAUAUCCCUCCCGUCAGUUGACCGUCUAAUUUCUAUAAAAACGACCAUUUUACUCUUUGGAUGAACAUAGAAAUUUAUGAAUUACAUUAUUAAAAAUGUAAAAGUUUGUCGCAUGAGACUAUUAUGGGUAUGAUUUUGUUGUGCGAUGCAUUAUUUAUCACAAAAUUUAUUUUUAGAUGAUGAAAUAAAAAAUAUGUAUUUAUUUUUAAAAAAAGUCAUAAAAAAUUGACGAGCAUUCAUAUAAAUAUAGGACUAACAAUGCUCCCAAUAAUAUUUUUAGGAAUGCUCUCGAUAAAAAAAAUCCAUUGUCCUAUUAAAAUUUCGAAUAAAUAUUUUAAUUUAUUACAUUUGUUUCAUUUUCAAAACUUAUGUCAAAAUUUUCUGCACUAAAUAUUUAGUCUUAUUAGUUUCAUAAAAUACACAUAUUAUGCACUCAAACAAAAUUUUCAAUCGUUUUUCAAGACUAUAUUCAAACCUAAAGCAUCAAAGGCAAAAAGACAUUUGCAACCAAAUGCAAUAGUGAAAUGAAGGAAAAUAUAACGGUAGGUAGGGGCAUGAAAGGGAUCAAGUUGAAAUUUCAGAGGUAUAGAAGGGAUCGGAUAAAUUUAAGGGGUAUGAAAGGGAUUGAGUGAAUUUUUAGGGGUAUAUAGGGAAUUUACUCGUAGUCUAUUGGUAUAUUUAAUUCACGCUCAUGGCACAGUGUUUCUGUAAAUUUUGCUGAAAAUGUACUAUACCUCUUAUCUUGCAGAUGGGCCCUGAUACUGGAAAUUAGGCUAUGCACCUUCCGAUGGUCAGGUGGCUGGUGCGGCCGAAGCUGCGAGAGAAUGCUGGUGAGGAUCUCCUCAUAUCAGGCUUCUGGGAUGCCCGCACAAAUGCCCGGCACUCAAAUUGCCGUCCAAUUUUUCUGUACAGCUCGUUGGCAAGAGUGGUCUUCCCGAUUCCUCCAAAUCCAACAAUAGACAACACCCUGAGCUUCUCCUCUCCUGCGUGUCCAGACAGAUAGUCCUCGAGCUUGUUCAUGGCGGAGUCAACCCCAACAAGGACGUCCUCGGCACGUUCCUCGCACCGCACAGGACGCAAAGAAGAGCUAGAAGAUACAUCGAUACCACAGGUGUUAGUAGAAGCAAUGGCAGCGGUGGUGGCUACGCCAUGCAUGGUUGCUGUACAUGGCAUGGCGUUGAAGCGCCUCCUGCGCGCGUGUGCUGAACUCUCUCAUCUUGUUGGCCAUCCAUAGCCGCUGCUUCAGCUUCUCUUGAACCCAAGGUGGCAGCUUGUUCCCAUGCCGCCGGUUGAACUUACGGCGGCGAAUAUUAUCAUUAAAUCCGCUUCGAGAGUUGGCCAUGGCAUGCUCAUAGUGGUCGAUGCAGUCCUCGAUGUCGUAGGACAGCUCUCGCACCUCCUUCAUCCAGCACCUCACCACCAUGGCAUUGUCCUCCAGUUUUGGCUUGCUGUAUCCAUGGAGAAUGGAGAUUAUCUUCUCGACAUCCUGCUUGAUGAGUGGUAACUCGUCUUCUGCCCCGUUGGGCAGGAUGUUGCCGUGACGACGCAGAAGCCCCUCGAGCCUACCGGGGAGGCUCGGCAUGGCGCCCCACAAGCCACAGGUCGACAGAACCUCCUCCUCCAUUUGAUAUCUUCGAUUCUCUGAAGACAAAUUAAAAGUGCAAUACAGAGAUUAGCCAGGUCCGCGUAUUAGAUCACAAAGAAACAACGAUGGUGAAUUAAUGAGAGAGUAAUACAACAACAUUGAUCCUACAAAAGAACAAAAUUGAUCAUACAAGUUGACGAAGAGUAGGAUGAGAGAUGUCUCAAGCUCUCCGCGCGCACAAAUGGGGUGGUAAGGCAAAUAGGACAGAUCUGUUCCCCACUUUGCUUCAUUUCCUAAUUCCCAAGGUCGAUCGUCACUCCUUUCCUUUCUUCCACAUUGUCUGUCCUUUGGUAUACAUCACUCGAAUACGCCAUUGCAGUUGGUAAUUAAAUUCAUGGAUAUGGUCUAUAUAUAUACCACUCGUUCGUUAUAUUCAAGUUGCUCUCACAGUCUCACGCUAGAGAUAAUACCAAUUAAUGUCAACUAGGCCAUGUGAACUGUUGCUGCCAGAGAGUAUCCAUAAUUUCCAUCUCCCUGUCGAUAGAUUAAUACGUAGCAACUCUGACCAUGUCAAUGUUAUUAUAUACUGCUACAUCACUCCUAAAAUAAGUGCAGCCAUGGAUAUCCGUGUUCAACGUUUGACCAUUUGUCUUAUUUAAAAAAAUUAUAAAAGAUUAAUCACACAUAAAAUACUAUUCAUAUUUUAUCAUCUAAUAACAAUAAAAAUAUUAAUCAUAAAAAAAUUUCAAAUAAGAUGAAUGGUCAAAUGUUGGAUAUGAACAGUGCAAAACUGCACUUAUUUGGGGACGAAGAGAGUACCUCCUUUUCAAAAUGUAUAACGCCAUUGACUUUUUCAUAAUGUUUGACCAUUCAAUUUAUUCAAAAAUUUAGUAUAAAUAUGUAAAAUUAUAAGUUAAGAUUAUAUUUUAUUUGAUACAACACUAUCAUUGCCAGCUACUAGCACAAACCUACAACGAGAAAAUAUUGUUGUUCCGUGCCACGAACCAGUAUUAUAUUGUUACUGUUAUAUAGUCCGUUUGACGGCAGUGAUACAUCGAAGUAAGUACCCUCCCAAAAAAAAGAAAAAAAAUGCGGCCCAUCUUAAUCUUGAAAAUAUUUUUUCAGUACAUAAUCUUCAUAUUAGUGCCAACUUUCUUCCUUAUUAUUGACUACGCAUUGAUUGUUCAUAAUGAAUUUGAGGUGGUUGAUCUGGGAGUGGAUUCUAAUCCAUACUGGGGACAUCCCCUUUAUACCUUUUCUUUCCAAAUUUCAAUUUACAAUGUAGAGUACGGUGAUAUCUAUGGUCCACUAAAAAUCAAGUUCAAAUUCAACCUACAUAUCGAGAAACAUUUUUUUUUACAAAUUCAGAUGUGAGCAGUACAGCUACUACUCAUAUGCUAAAUUUGUCUUUUUUAUAUCUCAACGUGUGAGUUGAGUUUGGAACUAAAAUUUUAUAGAGUUGUAUAGAUAUAUUGUAUGAGUGUUUUUAAUUUUUUCUAAAACUUUUCAUAACUGUUCGGAUAGUUUUUAAGCAAACCUGAAGAGAUCAAAAUACUUUCCCGGUUAAUCUGAAUAAUAUAUUUAUCUAUUGGUUGGGUUCUCUUAUUGCAUCGAAGAAAUAUAGAUGACAUUGGACUACUAGCCCAUGAGAUUGUGGCGGUUCAAAAAUAGAUCAUGACGUACGUUCUUCCUGAUGCAAUGCAUUAAUAUGUACGGCUUGUUUCCACGAUCCAGAAAUUGUUGAUCUCGGCAUUAUUCAUGCUUCAGAUCUUGAAUCGUCUAAUGUGGUGAACCGUAAGAACCCUUCUUUCACCGUAGUGAGCUAGCAUGGACCGUCUAAUCUCCUCUAGAGUGACUGCGCAAACAAGGCAAGAUUUGGUGUUUUUUAAACAAAAAACAGUUCAUAAUUUGGGUAUCUCGAUAUAUAGGAUACAUCAUAUAUGUAACUAUGCAAAAAGUCAAUUCUACACCUUAAUAUUGUAAUCCUUAUUGAAGUCCAUCUGCCGAAAUUGUAUAAAUGUGCUAGAGAUUAAUUUGCCAUGGAAGGCUGGGAUGCUGCUUCGGUGGCCGUUACCACCACCGGAUGCGGAUGGCCGAUCACCUGAAGCCGUGAAGAAGAAGGAUCUGAAAGUCUCAUCCUCUUAAGGCUAGAAUCCCGUUCAUCUUCUGAACUUGCCUGGCCUACACAAAUUCUCCUCUUCUCCAUUGGUCUUCCCGGUUCCUCGCUUUCCACCGAAUGAACCUCUCCGAGCAACAAAACUCUAGGCCUGUUUGGGUGGUUCUUUGCAGCCUGUUCCCAAUCUUGCCUUGUUUGCGCAGUCACUCUAGAGUCAAUCGUGACUUCCUUGAGGUGUUUCAGGUGUCUGAUCUCGAUACCAGAAAGACCGACUAGUCCUUGACAGAGCAGCUGGAGUGAAACAAGGUUUGGCAUAGCUCCUUGCUCGAACUUUGGUAGUGCUGAAGCCGCAUUUUUCACCACAAAGCAUAGGCGCCGCAGGCUCAGAAAUGCUCCUAGUUUUAUCUCGAAAUUCUCGAGCUUGUCUGCAACCAAUUUGAGGUAAAGCAGGCUGUUCAGAUUGGUCAGUGCUGACAGAUGCUCUUGUGUCAGUGUAGCUGAUGAAAUGCACAGCUCAAUGAGACCUGACAGCAAGGUAACAAACAGGGGCAACUGGAGUAAGUUGCCAUGUAGCUUCAGCGACUUCAGAGUAUAUUUGUAAUCUUCAGAGCAUGGCUCCAAAUGAAUCGAACUCAGGAAAUUUUCAGAGCAUUCUUCGGAAUCAAGUGAGAGAAAACGGACUCGGUCCAUGUCAAUGGGAGUCUUGGUAAAUUCCUGAAUGGCCUUUGAAAGAUCAGCAAUGUAAUUACUGCUACCUUCAACAUGCUUGCACCAUAUCUUAACCUUCCUCAGUUUUUUCAUAUGACCAAUAAGUUGCAGAAAUUCCUUUCCUUCUUCAGUGAUAAAUCCUGCUAAAGUUUUCAAGUUGCUCUUAUUUGAUGAAAAGAAUUUUUGUAGUUUACUCAUCUUCUUCGCAUUUUUUAGAUCAUCUUUGUGAAGCAUGAACUUUCCAAACAAGUGAGCUAAGUGGGGCAGCAUUAUAGCUUCAAUGGGCAAAAACUUGAUCUCCGUUCUCCUUAAAUCCAGUGUCUCUAAACAAUGCAGCCCUUGAAUACUCCUUGGAAGCUCAUUGAUAUAGCCCCCAAGGCUCAGGUAUUUCAGAUGCCACAGUUCAUACAUGUGUUUCAGAUGAUCGUCAUUCAAACCAUUGCAUUCUUGUAGAUCCAAGACUCGUAGAAGCUUGCACUUGCGAAGACAAGAAAUUGUAUCACCUGCAUCCCCAAAGAUUGUCAGAGAUCGGACUCGAGAUAAUUCUUCGUCAGAUGCCACGCAUUCUGUCUGUUUAGCAGCAUCGACAGAAAGGUGGCGCGCAUUGCUAGUAUUGAUUCCAACUCUUGGAUGAUCAUGCAAUGAUGUCCCGAUGAAUCUCUGGGCCAAGGACUUGUUCAGCAAAAACUCGUGCAUGAUUCCAUGAGUUUUGCACGUCUUCACUUCAGAAUUGUUCCUCGUGUCAACAGGCUGAAUGAUAUUCCGGUCAAUAAGCUUUCUGAAAUUCUUAUCUGCAGUGUACUCUUCGCUACGACGAGGGUCAUCGCUCCGUGCAUAUCCUUCUGCUAACCACCGCCUGAUUACAACUUUCUUCUUGAGAGGACGAUUGUUUGGGAAUAUACCAAGAUACAGCAAGCAGCUCAGAGUAUAGCCAGAAAAACUGUCAUAGUUGUCAAGGAGCACCUUCCUGAGUUGUGCAAAGCUGUAAUGGCCAUCCUCUUUCAGAUCAGAACCAAGGUUGAGGCACAGCUCUGCACACAGCUCUCCUGUGGGCUCACUUGAGCUCUUCAGAUAAUCAGAGACACUAACCAGAGCCAGAGGAAGGCCAUCACAUUUCGCUAAUAAUGAUGCUGGACCUUGCCCCGGUUCAACUGAUCUGAGCCCUGAAAAUGCUAGUUUCUUGGAGUCCUCUUUGCCAAGGGUCUUCAUUUGGUACACAUAACCGUUGCCAUGGCUGCACGUAUUAGCUACUUGCUGAUUAUCUGUCGUCACUAUUAUCCUGCUGCCUGUACCAUUGUCUGGAAAGAUCGACUCUAUGAUUCUAAGUUGAUCCACAUCUAUGUCAUCGAUGACAAUCAAAUACCUAACAGACAAAAAUGUACAAAUGAUAAGCAAAUAAAUCACAAAUCCUGCUAAUGUAAUAGUCAUUAGUUAGAGAUUUGCUCCGGUCCAACGAAAAGUACCUCGAGAGACUGGUACCUUACGGUGCAAAAUCGUUUCCGAUCGUUGGAUCUAACAAUACCCAUCUUGUCUAGCUAGAUCUAACGCUCAGAAACGAUUUGGUACCGUGAGGUACCGAUACCUCGUGUUACUUUUCGCCUAAUACCUCCUAAUACUAGUACUUACAGUAAAAUCAUUGAGAAAAAAAAAUGAGGCGCAAUUACCUCUUGUCCUUGAGGUACUCUCUGAGCGAGGCUUCGAGAUGCUGGCCAUCCACAUCCAUGGCGUCACCGGGACGCACUUGCCGGAGUACAUCACGCAGGAUCCCCCUCAUCCAGUCGCUCGUCUCCGGCGAGCCAACGGCGGCGAUCCACGCACGGUGGUAGAAUUUCUCCUUUGUGCGAGGGUCAUCGUAGACCGCCUUGGCGAGGGUGGUCUUCCCCAAUCCACCGAACCCCACGAUGGAGAUGACCCUCACCUGCUCCGGCUCGCCCUCCACUUCGUCUAGCAGCGAGAGGAGCUCCUCCAUGGGCUCCCCGAUGCCCACCGGAGGACCGCACGCGGCGCGAGCCGGAGUCGAUGACGACGACCUCGGCUCGAAUCCACUAGGCGGCGGAUUCGGAUUGAUGAUGUUGCUGAUGACCCGCUGCUGCGCUUCGCUGAGGCGCCUCCUCAGCUUCUGGAUCUCUUCACUGAAGCUCGAGCGGCUCUGGACCUUCUUGACCUCGUGCUUGACUCGGCAAACCAGGGAUGUUCUUCCGCUGGGAUUGCUGUGGCUGCAGGUGAGGAGGUGCGUGAAGCGGUCGACGCAGUCCUCGAUGUCGUGCUCGAGGUCGAGCAUCUCCUCGGCGUGCAGCCGCGCGACGGCCGUGCGGGCGUGGGCGUCGCUCCUCCCCAUGGAGAGGAGCUGGUCGUCCAUGGCGGCGGCGACCAUGCGGAACUCCUGCUGGAGGGAGGCGACCUCUUGCUCGAGGGCCUUGUGCUUGUUGUACUCCUUGUCCAGCACCAUGAACAGCUUCCCCAUGACCGCCUCCAAGAAAGCGCUCGCCGCCGCAGACGCCAUGGACGUCGGCGUGCCUCUCGAUACGAUUACUUUGCUGGAUCAGACAGAUUGGCUGAGGGAGAAGCAGCUGCGAGCAAGCACCCUCCAAGUCUUCCACAAGUCAACAACCCACCAGUCUCGUGUAUAUGAUGCGUGGAUACCCCCAAUCUUGGGUAAAAUUAGAUGUUUGGGUGGGCUAAAUUUUUUAGUUCUAUCACAUCGGAUGUAUGUGUAUACGUACGGCUGCGUUCGAAUCUUCUCAUCAGGAUGAAGAUUAAAAGUGGGCACACAAAAACAAGGAAGCUAUUAGCGCAUGAUUAAUUGUGUUUUAAUUACUACAAAUUUGAAAAAUGGAUAUAUUUUAUAUUUUAAAGCAACUUUUAUAUAGAAAGUUUUCAUACAAAGUGCACCGCUUCGUAGUUUGAAAAGCGUGCUAACGGAAACCGAAUUAAAAUUUUUAUCAUCAUGAGAAAAGAACUGAGCGAUUUGGAGUAUUAAAAAUAGAUUAAUAAAAAACUAAUUUCAUAAAUGAGAGCUAAUCCGCGAGACGAAUUUUUUAAGCCUAAUUAAUCCAUAAUUAGCAAAUGUUUACGGUAGUAUCACAUAGGCUAAUCAUAGAUUAAUUAGGCUUAAUAGAUUCAUCUCGCAAAUUAGUCUAAGAUUAUGGAAUAGGUUUUGUAAUUAAUCUAUAUUUAAUACUCUAAAUUAGCGUCAAACAUCCGAUGUGACAGGAACUAAAAUUUAGUCCCUGUGAACCAAACAUAUGGACCAAACAGGGCCAGGCACACAUUUUAGUCUAGGGGUGUAAAGUUUUGGCGUGUCACAUCGGAUAUAUGGACACACAUUUGAAGUAUUAAAUAUAGCCUAAUACCAAAACAAAUUACAGAUUGCGCCUGUAAACUACGAGACGAAUUUAUUAAGCCUAUUUAAUCCAUUAUUAGCAAAUGUUUACUGUAGCACCACAUUAUCAAAUCAUGGACUAAUUAGGCUUAAAAAUCCGUCUCACAAUUUACACCAAACUGUGUAAUUAGUUAUUUUUUUUGUCUAUGUUUAAUACUUCAUACAUGUGUCCAAACGUUCGAUGUAAUAGGGUGUAAAAUUUUUGCCUAGGAACUACACAGGGUUGUACUCCUCCCACUCAAUUUCAAAUACUUACUUAUCACCGAAUACUAUUUAUUUAUUUAUUUACUUUAAUAGCUCGUAUAUACUUCAAAAUACCCCUCCGUUUUAUAUUAUAAGUCAUUUGAUUUUUUUUCUUAGUUAAAGUUCUUUACAUUGAUAAGUAUGUAAAAUAAUAAACAGCAUCUACAACACUAAGGGUCUAUUCACAAGAACAGUUUCCCAACCCUAAUAGUAAAUACGGAAAAUGAAGCAGUCUAUUAGCGCACGUGAUUAAUUAACUAUUUGUUAUUUUUUUUAAAAAAAUGGAUCAAUAUAACUUUUUACAAAAAACACACCGUUUAACAGUUUGAAUAGCGUGCGCGCGGAAAACGAGAGCAAGGAGUUGGGAACCAGCUCUUGCAAACAGAGCCUAAAUUAGUUUCAUUAAAAUUUACAUUGAAUAUUGAAUAUAUUUUGAUAAUAUGUUUUUUAUUCAUAAUAUUACUAUUUUUUUUACAAACUUGAUUAUAAAAGAAGUUUGACAAAAAAAAAAUCAAAGGUAGUAUGAUAUAUCAAAGGUCAUAAAUAUGCUAUACAACUUCUAUUAAUCACAAAUGAAUUGUUUCACAGUUAUUGAUGAUCCAAGCUGAAAAUGGUCAACAGUGCCUAAGCAAAGGAACGACUACAAAGCAAGUGGAUAUAUUCCGUUACAAGUGGAAACUCUUUUGGAUUCUCAAGGAGAUGUUACCUCAUUUUAACCAUCUAAAUAGUCUGAAAAAUUCUCAAAAAAUUUGACAACAUUCAUAUUCAUACAACAUGUAUAUUCUAUUCUACAAAAUCUUAGAUCCAAGCUUUAUACAUUUCCAUAUAAAAAUGUUCCGGUAUAAAUAGUAGUGGUACUAUUUAGACCAGAAUUUGUCUCCUUUUUUUUCCUCAAUAUGUAGGUUGAAUUUUAGGGGUGAAAAUGGAUUAGGUAAUAUCUGAUCCGAUCUGCUCUGAAUCCGUCCGAAAAAAGGAUAUGCUAUGGGUUUUUAGAUAUCCAGCGAAUAGUAAGAUACGAAUUCGGAUGCAGAUAUGGUAUUCCUAUAAUCCGGCGAAUGUGAAUUAUCGACAUUUUUAUUGGACCAAUAGGCCAUUUGCCAGAUAAUCCGAAAUUAUCAAUCCAUGUAACCACUCGAUCUGUUGCAUAUAACAUGAGUUGGCCUGUCCAAUGGUCUAAUUCAUCAAUUAACCUAGAUUUCUUAGUCUAAGGCUUUCAUCGUAUCAUCUCACACUUGCUUAACUGCAUUUUUAUAUUUAUGGACAUCAUGUAUUCAUGUUAUUUAGCACUUAAGCAUAUAAUUGUAGCGAUGGAUUGUUCAUUGAUUAUUAUAUUGUUGCCCUUGCAUUGCAAACUCGAUGUUAUAUUUAUUGCAUACACAACUGGGUCCACACCAUUUCCGACAUUCAAAACAACCCGCUUCGCAUCCACACACUAUUCGCACCUGCUUCGAUCCCACUUAAAAAUAUGGUUCAAGAUAGGGUAUGACCACUAUCUGUCCGAAUCCGUUCCAUUUUCACUCGUAUUGAAUUUUGACUUGAUUUUUGGUGAAUGGCUAGAUGUCACUAUACUCCACAUUAUCAAAUCUUUUACAACCAUUUACAUUAAAUUUAGAAGAAAAAGGUAAAAAGGGAUAAACCCUCGAGGGAUUAGAAUCCAUUCCCAUCACAAGUAGUGUUUCUUUACUCAAACUUCUCAACAUUAAUAUCCGCUGAACAAUCUAUCUAUCUAUUAUAUUAUUAAGACAGCUUGAAACAAAGACACAUGUUCGCUAUGAAGUUUUAGGAAUUACCACAUUAAUCACAGAAGAAAGAAAAAUAUUAGCCAUCAGAUCUCAACAUAUCUAAAUUUUAAUGGCUGAGAUUUAAUGUAUAGUACUCCCUCCAUCCCAGAAUAUAAGAAUUUUUAGGAUUGGACACAUGUAUUAAGAAAGUAGGUAAAAUUUAAUUGGAGAAUGUUGUAAUUGGUUGUGAAGUGAAGGUAGGUAAGAAAAUUGGAUGGUGAAGGGUUGUGAUUGGUUGAGAAGAGAAUGUUGGUGAAGAAAUUGUUAUAUUUUAGGACAAACCUUAUGGACUAAAAGUUGUUAUAUUUUGGGACGGAGGGAGUAUAAGGCCCUGUUUAUUUUCUAAAACAAAAAUUUUAAUGCUGCCACAUCGAAUGUUUGGGCACAUGCAUGGAGUUUUAAAUGUAGGAAAAAACCAAUUACACAGAUUACGUGUAAAUUGCGAGACGAAUCUUUUAAACCUAAUUGCACCAUGAUUUGACAAUGUGGUGCUACAGUAAACAUUUGCUAAUAACGGAUUAAUUAGGCUUAAUAAAUUCGUCUCGCAGUUCCCUGACGAAAUCUAUAAUUUGUUUUUGUUAUUAGACUAUGUUUAAUACUUUAAAUGUGUAUCCAUAUAUUCGAUGUGACAACCAAACUCAAAAAUUUUCUCCAACUAAACGAGUCCUAAACAAGGCCUAAAGCUGUGUUUAGAUCCAGGGGUGUAAAGUUUUAGCGUGUCACAUCGGAUAUACGGACACAUAUUUAAAGUAUUAAACAUAAUCUAAUAACAAAACAAAUUACAGAAUCCGCCUGUAAACCGCAGGACGAAUUUAUUAAACCUAAUUAAUCCAUCAUUAGCAAAUAUGUACUGUAGCACCACACAUGGCGCAUUUAGUUUUAAAAGAUUCAUCUCGCAAUUUAUACGCAAUAUGUGUAAUUAGUUAUUUUAUAUAUAUAUAUUUAAUACUUUAUAUAUGUGUCUAAAUAUUUGAUUUACCAGAGUGUAAAAUUUUACCAGGAUCUAAACAGGGCCUAAAUUUUAGAAGCUCGCACCCGGUUUCACAUACCAAACCGGACAAACAAUACAGUACUGCAAAGUCAGAAACAGGAAGGCACAAGACAACUUGUCAGACACACGGAUUACAACAACAAUUGGGCUGUGUUUAGUUCAGCGUAAAGUUUAGAUUUUGGUUGAAAUUAGAGAUGGUGUGACUGAAAAGUUGUGUGUGUAUGAUAGGUUGAUGUGAUGGAAAAGGACUGAAGUUUAGAUUCAAACUUUGGAUCUAAACACAAGUGGCUGUGUUUAGUUCAGCGCAAAGUUUGGAUUUUAGUUGAAAUUGGAGAUGAUGUGAUUGAAAAGUUAUGUGUGUAUAACAGGUUGAUGCGAUGGAAAAGGACUGAAGUUUGGAUCCAAACUUUGGAUCUAAACACAGCCACAAACUGCAUAAACCUAACCCAACCCUUUUCGCCUAAACAAAUACAAACUGCAUAAACCUAACCCAACCCUUUUCGUAUAAGCUUUCACCGAUUCCUGAUUGAUAUAAUCACAUCAGAGCUGGUUUAGUUCCCAACUUUUUCUUUAAACUUUUAACUUUUUUAUGACAUCAAAAUUUUCCUACACACAUAAACUUUCCAACUUUUUUCUUCAAACUUUCAAUUUUAAUCAAACUUCCAAUUUUAGCGUGGAACUAAGGCUGUGUUUAGUUCCCACUAAAAUUAGAAGUUUGGUUGACAUUGGAACGAUGUGACGAAAAAGUUGGAAGUUUAUGUGUGUAGGAAAAUUUUGAUGUGAUGGAGAAGUUAGAAGUUUGAAGAAUUAUUUUGGAACUAAACACGGUCUAAACACAGCCUCAAUAGUUUUUACUAGCAAUAGAAGCGCGCUACGCUGCGCCGCCCGAAUCAAUUGAAGACCAAUAUGUUUGAGGAAUAAUAUGCAUAUACUAUUCACCCAUAGCAUUGGUUUAUUUUUCGUCUAUAUCCCAUAAACUACCCUUAUAAAAAAAAUUGCACAUAAAAAAAUAUAGCGUAUAGGCUAAAGGAGAAAACCAAAAGGUAUCGGAAGUUUGAAUAAAUAGAAAAAAGGGGCAAAUUACAUGUCAAUUACAAUGAGUUUACAGAGGUUUCAAUGCUACCCCUUUUUUUCUCUAUACGCUAGAAUCACAUAGGACUAUUGGAUGCUAAAAACAUAAGACCUAAAUGCCUACUGGUGGUCCAUAUUAAACAUAUGCAAAGCUAAAAUGAACAGAUAGAAAAUGAUGUUUUUUAAGUGCAACAUGCAAGUGCCCUAGUCAACAACAAUCCUCCGUUACGUGCGGUUAGUGACAUCGGUAAACCUAAAAAAAAAGUAUACUACCUCCGUCCCAAAAUAUAUCGCAAUUUUGAGCAGUGUACCUAAACAUACCUUUCAAGAUAUAGGGCCAGAAGUUUUUACAUUUUGGGACAAAGGUAGUAGAAAGUUUUAAUAGUAAUGUUAGUACAGCUAAAACAGUAUAGUAUCAACCACUUAUAUAGAGAGAUAAUAUUUUCGCUUGGCAUCACAAUUCUAAACACAUGCAACCAAUUUUUCUACCAAAAGUUCUAUCUUUUUUGGAGUGGAGUAGUACAAAGUGCUGCUACCAUGUGGCCACGUGGCAAAGUUUAUGAGCGAAAGCAUGCAUAAUCACUUAACCAAAGUAUGGAUGCAAUAACAUAAGCCUUAUAGUUCUACAAUGCAUAUAUACUUCUUCAGGUUAGGUUCCAUUUUUUUCUUCCCUGUUCCUUUUAAGUAGCCGGCAAAAUAUACAACGCGGAAACAAAGAGCUUGUAAAAGCACAGUGGCAGCAGGCUACACUACAGUUUGACGAAACAGAUCGACUGCACAACUUUUAGGAUUUAAAAGUGUGCUUUCACAAAUAAUGAAAAAAACAUGUGUAAAAUAGACUGGUGAACUAAACAGUGAAAUAAUCUAUCUGAGCACAGACAUGUAAAAGCAAACCAACUGAAAGACAAAAUAUAAAAAAAAAUGGACUCAUGAUAUUGCUUUACCUUUGCAUCGUAGCGGUUAGGAUAUGUCUAGCAAAGCAUUCCCAUUGAACAGUUGAUGCACAAACUAAAUUGAAAUGUACCUUCAAAAGAAAUUUACGUUCGUCUCAGAUAUUAACAGGAAAUCAGCUUUCCGUGAUGGAUCCAAUCCAUCCAUGUCUUUUUCGACCUAAUAAAAAAAGAAUAUAGAUAUAUGUGAUGAAGCAUGAAUAAAUGAAGGUCAUUCUCGAGACUGCUAAUGUUUUCAUGACUCAAAAAUGGAGCCAUCCUUCUUUUAAAGAAAAUGAUUGA